This 1609-nucleotide ribosomal RNA is filed under the name metagenome. Its description in RNAcentral is "SSU rRNA". It matches the Rfam family "Eukaryotic small subunit ribosomal RNA", at positions 1 to 1535 of the family's 1831-position model. The record is from RNAcentral.
UCUGGUUGAUCCUGCCAGUAGUCAUAUGCUUGUCUCAAAGAUUAAGCCAUGCAUGUCUAAGUAUGAAUCUUUAUACGGUGAAACUGCGAAUGGCUCAUUAUAUCAGUUAUCGUUUAUUUGAUAAUCAUUGCUACUUGGAUAACUGUAGUAAUUCUAGAGCUAAUACAUGCUUCAAUGCCCGACUUUGGAAGGGCUGUAUUUGUUAGAUCCAAAACCAAUGCGCAGCAAUGCGGUUCAUGGUGAUUCAUAAUAACUUUUUUAUUUUCAGACCGAAUGGCCUUUGUGCCGUCGGCGAUUCAUUCAAAUUUCUGCCCUAUCAAUUUGUUGGUACUGUAUUGGACUACCAAGAUUAUAACGGGUAACGGAGUAUUAGGGUUCGAUUCCGGAGAAGGAGCCUGAGAAACGGCUACUACAUCUAAGGAAGGCAGCAGGCGCGCAAAUUCCCCAAUCAGGACAUCUGGAGGGAGUGACGAAAAAUAUUAAUGCUGGGUUUCUACUUGGCAAUUAAAAUGAGAACAAUUUAAAACUCUUAUCGAGUAUCAAUUGGAGGGCAAGUCUGGUGCCAGCAGCCGCGGUAAUUCCAGCUCCAAUAGCGUAUAUUAAAGUUGUUGCAGUUAAAAAGCUCGUAGUUGUAUUUCGAGGGAUUGAAUGUAAAAAGUUCUUUAGCCAAACUUUGUCCGCCGAAAGGCGUGCACGAGGUUUUAGCGUCCCUUUUGUGCUCGUAACAUUUUCAGUUGAUCUUUUUUGAAAGAUUGAAGAUGGGGCAUGUUAAUUUUCUAAAGACCUCUGUUUCGUUUAUUCGGGGCAGAUUUUCAGGGAUUUAGAUAUUUUACUUUGAAUAAAUAAGAGUGUUCAAAGCAGGCGUUUUUUGCUUGAAUUCAUCAGCAUGGAAUAAUGGAAUAAGAUUUUGGUCUUAUUUUGUUGGUUUCUAGGACCAAAGUAAUGAUUAAUAGGGAUAGUUGGGGUCGUUUAUAUUAAAUUGUCAGAGGUGAAAUUCUUGGAUUUAUUUAAGAUAAACUACUGCGAAAGCAUUCGGCAAGGAUGUUUUCAUUAAUCAAGAACGAAAGUUAGAGGAUCGAAGAUGAUUAGAUACCGUCGUAGUUUUAACAGUAAACGAUGCCGUCCGCCGAUAAUGAGGAUUUGUUAUUUCAAGACUCUUGUUGCAGGCAGAGAGAAAUCAGAGAUUUUGGGUUCCGGGGGGAGUAUAGUCGCAAGAACGAAACUUAAAGGAAUUGACGGAAGGGCACCACCAGGAGUGGAGCCUGCGGCUUAAUUUGACCCAACACGGGAAACUUUACCAGGUCCGGACAUUAUGAGGAUUGACAGAUUGAAAGCUCUUUCUUGAUUUGAUGGUUGGUGGUGCAUGGCCGUUCUUAGUUGGUGGUGUGAACCGUCUGCUUAAUUGCGAUAACGAGCGAGACCUUCAUUUGCUAAAUAGUUACGCUCAGGUUUUCACUUGGGUGGACAACUUCUUAGAAAGACUAACGGAGUUUUAUCCGUGGGAAGCUGGAGGCAAUAACAGGUCUGUGAUGCCCUUAGAUGUUCUGGGCCGCACGCGCGCUACACUGAAAAUAUCAACAAGUUCUUUGGUGUUUUAUUUCUUUCUUUU